This 253-nucleotide ribosomal RNA is filed under the name uncultured bacterium. RNAcentral's name for it is "partial 16S ribosomal RNA". It matches the Rfam family "Bacterial small subunit ribosomal RNA", at positions 524 to 776 of the family's 1533-position model. The record is from RNAcentral.
UACGGAAGGGGCAAGCGUUGUUCGGAAUUACUGGGCGUAAAGGGCGCGUAGGCGGCCUACUAAGUCGGACGUGAAAUCCCUCGGCUCAACCGAGGAACUGCGUCCGAUACUGGCAGGCUGGAAUCCGGGAGAGGGAUGUGGAAUUCCAGGUGUAGCGGUGAAAUGCGUAGAUAUCUGGAGGAACACCGGUGGCGAAGGCGGCAUCCUGGACCGGUAUUGACGCUGAGGCGCGAAAGCUAGGGGAGCAAACGGG